CAUAGUAUACUUAUUAAUUCCCAGUUGUCAGUUGACUCAAGUCUACUUGCUCUCUCUGUAAUUAGUAACUUAACAAAAAACUUAAAAUGUCGAAAAUCAUUUUAUUAUUAUCUCUUUUUGUAUUAAUGGGGAUUUUUGCCAGUGUACAAGGCGGCUGUGACGGCCAAUGGUGUCAUCCUUCGCAAGGUUAUGGUUGUUGUUCCUUCUAUGGAUGUAGUUCAUAUUUCAGCCAAGGUAGCUGUAUACCUAAUGGAGCAAUUAGUGAAGGCAAACGUUAAUGAUUAAAAAAUACAGAAGUACAUUUAUAACGACAAAAUGCCACUAUAAAAAUUUUUUAGCACAUGUAUAUGAGUAUCUGAAUUUGUGAACUUUGUUGUACAUUUGAUUUUUUGAUUAAACUUUUUUGUGGAAAUUAUCA
Molecule: long non-coding RNA, 418 nt
Organism: Microplitis demolitor
Lineage: Eukaryota; Metazoa; Arthropoda; Insecta; Hymenoptera; Braconidae
Exons: 3
Source: RefSeq, a predicted model, not a curated record